AUCCAGUUGACGAGCCCCAAAUAGGACGAAAUUCACAUCCUGGAU
This 45-nucleotide non-coding RNA is filed under the name Trichobilharzia regenti. Lineage: Eukaryota; Metazoa; Platyhelminthes; Trematoda; Strigeidida; Schistosomatidae. The record is from RNAcentral.